CUGCCUUUCUUCUUUGGGAUGUAAGAGAAUUUGCAUCGCUAACGUUCUUGGCUGUGUUUUCCAUGCACAUGGGCAGAGCUGGAGGUAGCAGACAGCCACGAUCCUUUUUGCCCCAAAAUGCUCACAUUUGGCAAGUGGUAAUGACACGGUCCGUCAUUUUAAAACAAUUGCCAAAGAGCAAAGGACACAAGCAGGGAGCAUAUGAGAGUCUCAGCCAUCCUUCCCUGCUCUGUCUAUGGCAUCCACAACAUAGUACGCUGCCAGCCAAAAUAAUCCAAAUUCCCAUGUCCCAAGGGAGCCAUGCUUCGGGGCAGCAGCGUUGACAGAGUCAGUAGGCUCAGAGCCAUUAGCUUUGGGAAGACUUUGAUGU
RNAcentral lists this long non-coding RNA (370 nucleotides) under Rattus norvegicus (Norway rat). Its description in RNAcentral is "long non-coding RNA NONRATT012654". The record is from RNAcentral. Lineage: Eukaryota; Metazoa; Chordata; Mammalia; Rodentia; Muridae.